This 253-nucleotide ribosomal RNA is filed under the name uncultured bacterium. RNAcentral describes it as "partial 16S ribosomal RNA". It matches the Rfam family "Bacterial small subunit ribosomal RNA", at positions 524 to 776 of the family's 1533-position model. The record is from RNAcentral.
UACGUAGGGUGCGAGCGUUGUCCGGAAUUACUGGGCGUAAAGGGCUCGUAGGCGGCCAACUAAGUCAGACGUGAAAUCCCUCAGCUUAACUGGGGAACUGCGUCCGAUACUGACAGGCUUGAAUCCGGGAGAGGGAUGCGGAAUUCCACGUGUAGCGGUGAAAUGCGUAGAGAUGUGGAGGAACACCAGUGGCGAAGGCGACUCUUUGGCCUGUAACUGACACUGAGGCACGAAAGCGUGGGGAGCAAACAGG